UCCCUAGCCAUAUAAUUUUGUCUAUAAAUGUGACAUUUUACACCAUUCAAAACGAAUGGUUACCGUACAUUAUUCUAAUAUGGUGAUACAAACUACUACUUUGAUGCCGCUAGCCAAAUUUCCCGACUAUAGGAAGUGACGUCAUAAACGAUAACACGUAACGAUGUUAGCAACGUUAACGUUACACGUUUGAUGUUGAUGUGUUCUUGAAAACUGAUGAUAAUCGUUCUGGAUUUACCGCAUUGAUGUUCAUUUAAAGAACCCCGAACCCUUUUCCUGUCCUGGGCGGAGGAGCCGGCCGAGGUGUACACCUGCUCCUAUGACAGCCGUGUGCUACAACAGCUUGUUCUGAAUGUGCACGUUAAAACCUAUGACUUGACCUGACCUCUGUUUAAAAAGGAGCACCUAUAGGUUUCAGAGAGGGGUGUAACAUUUAAAAUGAAACCUGCAUUAUUCCAAAGUAUACUAACAUGCAUUGUAUAAUUGUACAACACAAUGGUUAUUUCGGGACAUAUGAGAGUCCAUGGGGUGUGAACACUCACCACCCUUCUUUGAAUCCGCGCAUGGUGUUAACCUCGUAACAACACUGCGAAAUAUCAAUACAUCAAUAAAUACAUACUAAUCAUAA
Molecule: long non-coding RNA, 628 nt
Organism: Gigantopelta aegis
Lineage: Eukaryota; Metazoa; Mollusca; Gastropoda; Neomphalida; Peltospiridae
Exons: 2
Source: RefSeq, a predicted model, not a curated record